CAACCAUCAAGCCCUAGGCUUGUGUUGGGGCACUGCGGCUGCCACAGGCCCCUAAAAGCAGUGGCGGACUCGCUGUCAUACCGAGCGCAGUAGCAUAUCUCGCUCAGGGCGUGGCGGCGGGCACCGGCCGUAAAACACCCAACUUCUGAAA
RNAcentral lists this unclassified non-coding RNA (151 nucleotides) under uncultured Arnium. RNAcentral describes it as "sequence contains ITS2". The record is from RNAcentral. Lineage: Eukaryota; Fungi; Ascomycota; Sordariomycetes; Sordariales; Lasiosphaeriaceae.